Molecule: ribosomal RNA, 774 nt
Filed under: uncultured Neocallimastigales
Lineage: Eukaryota; Fungi; Neocallimastigomycota; Neocallimastigomycetes; Neocallimastigales
Description: partial large subunit ribosomal RNA
Rfam family: Eukaryotic large subunit ribosomal RNA
Source: RNAcentral
UUAUGUGAUCGUCUCUCGCAUAUCAAUAAGCGGAGGAAAAGAAACUAACAAGGAUUCCCCUAGUAACGGCGAGUGAAGCGGGAAGAGCUCAAAUUUGAAAUCUUAAAGGGUUUCCCUUUACGAAUUGUAGUUUAAAGAAGUGUUUUCUGUUGAGGUUUUGGUAAAAGUUCUUUGGAAUAGGACAUCAUAGAGGGUGAGAAUCCCGUAUUUGACCUUUACUUUCAACUUUGUGAUACACUUUCAAAGAGUCGGAUUGUUUGGGAAUGCAGUCCAAAAUGGGUGGUAAAUUUCAUCUAAAGCUAAAUAUUGGCGAGAGACCGAUAGCGAACAAGUACCGUGAGGGAAAGAUGAAAAGAACUUUGAAAAGAGAGUUAAACAGUACGUGAAAUUGUCAAAAGGGAAGCGUUUGACACCAGUGUUGUUUUUCUGAAAAUCAAUUAAAGAACUGUUUAUGCUAAGCUGUUUAGACUUUAUCAGCUAACUGUUUAGUUUUGAGCUUUUCCUUAAUGCACUUUUCAGUUAACAAGUCAACAUCAAUUUCUUUUGCUGUAAAAAAGCUUGAGGAAGGUGGCUUGAGAUUCGUCUUAAGUGUUUAUAGCCUCUUGCCUAUGCAGUCGGAGAGAUUGAGGUCUGCAGCGUAGAUCCUUCGGGGCUAAAUGCAUUUGUGCUAAGUAUAGCAUUUUAUAGACAACUUGUUGACUAUGAUUUGUCUUGUAGCUUACUCGCUUAUGUUAUUUUACCUACGCUUAGGAUGUUGAAGACUCUACAGAGAUA